GAGUGAAGCGGCAACAGCUCAGAUUUGAAAUCCGGCGCCCCCCGGGGCGCCCGAGUUGUAAUCUGCAGAGGGACCUCCUGGCGCGGCGCCGUCCGAGUUCCCUGGAACGGGACGCCUCAGAGGGUGAGAGCCCCGUACGGUCGGACGCCCAGCCUGUGUGGAGCCCCUUCGGCGAGUCGAGUAGUUUGGGAAUGCUGCUCAAAAUGGGAGGUAUACGCCUUCUAAAGCUAAAUACCGGCCAGAGACCGAUAGCGCACAAGUAGAGUGAUCGAAAGAUGAAAAGCACUUUGAAAAGAGGGUUAAACAGUACGUGAAAUUGUUGAAAGGGAAGCGCUCGCGGCCAGACUCGGGCCCGGCGGAUCAUCCGGCGCUCGCGCCGGUGCACUCCGCCGGGCUCCGGGCCAGCAUCGGCCCGCGGCGGGGGACAAAGGCGCCGGGAACGUGGCUCCCCAGGGAGUGUUAUAGCCCGGCGCGCAACGCCCCGCGGCGGGCCGAGGUUCGCGCGUCCGCAAGGAUGCUGGCGUAAUGGCCACCAGCGACCCGUCUUGAAACACGGACCAAGGAGUCGUCUUCGCAUGCGAGUGUUCGGGCGUCAAACCCGUACGCGCAAUGAAAGUGAACGCCGGUGGGAGCCCCUCGCGGGGCGCACCGCCGACCGAUCCUGAAGUUCUCGGAUGGAUUUGAGUAGGAGCAUGCGGGGCCGGACCCGAAAGAAGGUGAACUAUGCCUGUGUAGGGUGAAGCCAGAGGAAACUCUGGUGGAGGCUCGCAGCGGUUCUGACGUGCAAAUCGAUCGUCAAACAUGGGCAUGGGGGCGAAAGACUAAUCGA
RNAcentral lists this ribosomal RNA (829 nucleotides) under Ophiocordyceps nuozhaduensis. RNAcentral describes it as "Ophiocordyceps sp. DXT-2022e partial large subunit ribosomal RNA". It matches the Rfam family "Eukaryotic large subunit ribosomal RNA", at positions 91 to 938 of the family's 3401-position model. The record is from RNAcentral. Lineage: Eukaryota; Fungi; Ascomycota; Sordariomycetes; Hypocreales; Ophiocordycipitaceae.